Molecule: ribosomal RNA, 254 nt
Filed under: uncultured bacterium
Lineage: Bacteria
Description: partial 16S ribosomal RNA
Rfam family: Bacterial small subunit ribosomal RNA
Source: RNAcentral
CACGUAGGCACCAAGCGUUGUCCGGAUUUAUUGGGCGUAAAGAGCUCGUAGGCGGUUCGAUAAGUCGGACGUGAAAUCUCCACGCUCAACGUGGAGGGGCCGUUCGAUACUGUCGUGACUCGAGUCCGGUAGGGGAGUGUGGAAUUCCCGGUGUAGCGGUGAAAUGCGCAGAGAUCGGGAGGAACACCCGUAGCGAAGGCGGCACUCUGGGCCGGUACUGACGCUGAGGAGCGAAAGCGUGGGGAGCAAACAGG